AACUAAUAAAUCGCCAUUCUAUUCUUCAGGGGGGCUCCUGACUUCAACCAACAAAUCGCAUUCUGUUCUUCAGGGGGGCUCCUGACUUCAACCAAUAAAUCGACAUUCUGUUCUUCAGGGAGGCUCCUGACUUUAACCAAUAAAUCGCCAUUCUAUUCUUCAGGGGGGCUCCUGACUUCAACAACUUUUCAAAAAAUGCCAUUCCUUUCUUUGGAUGGCGAGAUUUCAACAACCCUUUUUUUAAAAACGCCUUUCCUUUCUUCAGACGGGCUCCUGAUUUCAACCAAUAAAUCGUCAUUCUGUUCUUCAGGGGGAUCCUGACUUCAACCGAUAAAUCGCCAUUCUAUUCUUCAGGGGGGCUCCUGACUUCAACCAAUAAAUCGCCAUUCUAUUCUUCAGGGGGGCUCCUGACUUCAACCAAUAAAUCGCCAUUCUGUUCUUCAGGGGGGCUCCUGACUUCAACAACUUUUCAAAAAUGCCAUUCCUUUCUUUGGAUGGCGAGAUUUCAACAACCCUUUUUUUUAAAACGCCUUUCCUUUCUUCAGGCAGGCUCCUGACUUCCAUCAAUAAAUCGUCAUUCUAUUCUUCAGGGGGGCUCCUGACUUCAACCAACAAAUCUCCAUUCUAUUCUUCAGGGGGGCUCCUGACUUCAACAACUUUUCAAAAAAUGCCAUUCCUUUCUUUGGAUGGCGAGAUUUCAACAACCCUUUUUUAAAAACGCCUUUCCUUUCUUCAGGCAGGCUCCUGAUUUCAACCAAU
Molecule: long non-coding RNA, 759 nt
Filed under: Nicotiana tabacum (common tobacco)
Lineage: Eukaryota; Viridiplantae; Streptophyta; Magnoliopsida; Solanales; Solanaceae
Description: long non-coding RNA (NTAB_LNC010281)
Source: RNAcentral